This is a long non-coding RNA of Mangifera indica (mango), 279 nucleotides long. RefSeq lists it as uncharacterized. The record is from RefSeq and is a predicted model, not a curated record. Lineage: Eukaryota; Viridiplantae; Streptophyta; Magnoliopsida; Sapindales; Anacardiaceae. The transcript is spliced from 2 exons.
AAUCAGUCCAGUACCUUAUUUAUAUAUGGCAAAAAUUCAUGAGAUUUGGAGCUGCACCACCUUGACUCAUUUACAAAUUUCCAUUAUCCUUUUCUAACUUCAAUGAGUAGAAAGAAGAAGCCACUUGUUCUUGAAUGUCAAUUUUUUGCCUUGCCAAAUUUCAUGCUACUGUUGGGAAAACUACUGCUGAAUACCCGAAGUGGGCUUAAUUAGGACAAACUGGUUCUGGGGUGCUGCAGCUGGGCAAACUUUUUUACUUUAUAAAUUACCUGUGAAAGA